CACAAGCUUCAAGGGCAACCUCAUCAUCACUAUCUUUGUUUGCUUGCAACAUGAAUUCCAUGACAUUCUUCAUAUGCGGCUCCAAGAAAGAAGGAUUAACUUCAAUGAGUUGAACAAAUGCUGAACAAACCAAUUUUCGAACCUCUGCAGCAGGGUCACAAGCAAGGACAAAUAAGCCACGAAGGAACUGAUCCAUGGACAGAUAAAGAGCUGUAGGCAUCAGCAUAAUAAAUUGAUUUAUUGAUCCUAGAGAAAGCUUCCUUAG
This 265-nucleotide unclassified non-coding RNA is filed under the name Hevea brasiliensis (rubber tree). Lineage: Eukaryota; Viridiplantae; Streptophyta; Magnoliopsida; Malpighiales; Euphorbiaceae. The record is from RNAcentral.